Bombina bombina (fire-bellied toad) is the source of this 1785-nucleotide long non-coding RNA. RefSeq lists it as uncharacterized. The transcript is spliced from 3 exons. The record is from RefSeq and is a predicted model, not a curated record. Lineage: Eukaryota; Metazoa; Chordata; Amphibia; Anura; Bombinatoridae.
GUAGAAGAGAAUGAGUGUGUUGUAGAUUAUGCAUUGAAGAAGAGGAAUGUGAAACUUGUGCCCACUGGGUUGGAUUUUGGGAAGGAGGGAUUUACAAGGUAUAAGGAGCGUCGAUUCCAUCCUUCCUUGCGAUUGUCUCGACGGUUUUACCCACACACUCACAAUAUGGACGGUUUCUUCAUUGCAAAACUGCGCAAGUUCUCAAAUUCUCUCCCAUCAGCUCCAAAAGGUGAAGAAACAGAAUCUUCAGUUCCGGAUCAGCAGGAAGCCGGAGAUGCUGUAACCCAGAAGGGUAAAGAAAAACCACCAAAGAAACAGAAGACAGCGCUAAAAGAGAAAAAGAAAAAAUAAAGUGUUACCAAUGUCCUCAGUCUGUCAGCCCUUCCAGUACAACCUCUGUAAUUCUGCGUUCUCCAUAGUGAGGUGGGAUGCUCAGCUAAUACCUUUUUCCGGAACAGUCUUUGUGGCCCAUUAAACUGUACACGAGUUGCAAUACUCUGAAGCUGGAUAAUCUAGUUCCACUGAUGCUCUGUAGGGUUCCUCUGCAGCUGGAUAGUCUAGUUCCCACUGAUGCUCUGUAGGGUUCCUCUGAAGCUGGAUAAUCUAGUUCCACUGAUGCUCUUUUGGGUUCCUCUGCAGCUGGAUAGUCUAGUUCCCACUGAUGCUCUGUAGGGUUCCUCUGAAGCUGGAUAAUCUAGUUCCCACUGAUGCGCUGCAGGGUUCCUCUGCAGCUGGAUAGUCUAGUUCCCACUGAUGCUCUGUAGGGUUCCUUUGCAGCUGGAUAGUCUAGUUCCCACUGAUGCUCUGUAGGGUUCCUCUGAAGCUGGAUAAUCUAGUUCAACUGAUGCUCUGCAGGGUUCCUCUGAAGCUGGAUAAUCUAGUUCCCACUGAUGCCACUGAUGCUCUGCAGGGUUCCUCUGCAGCUGGAUGGUCUAGUUCCCACUGAUGCGCUGCAGGGUUCCUCUGCAGCUGGAUGGUCUAGUUCCCACUGAUGCUCUGUAGGGUUCCUCUGAAGCUGGAUAAUCUAGUUCCACUGAUGCUCUGCAGGGUUCCUCUGAAGCUGGAUAAUCUAGUUCCACUGAUGCUCUGUAGGGUUCUUCUGAAGCUGGAUAAUCUAGUUCCACUGAUGCUUUGUAGGGUUCCUCUGAAGCUGGAUAAUCUAGUUCCACUGAUGCUCUGCAGGGUUCCUCUGAAGCUGGAUAAUCUAGUUCCACUGAUGCUCUGUAGGGUUCCUCUGCAGUUGGAUGGUCUAGUUCCACUGAUGCUCUGCAGGGUUCCUCUGAAGCUGGAUAAUCUAGUUCCCACUGAUGCUCUGUAGGGUUCCUCUGCAGCUGGAUGGUCUAGUUCCACUGAUGCUCUGCAGGGUUCCUCUGAAGCUGGAUAAUCUAGUUCCCACUGAUGCUCUGCAGGGUUCCUCUGCAGCUGGAUAGUCUAGUUCCACUGAUGCUCUGCAGGGUUCCUCCGCAGCUGGAUGGUCUAGUUCCACUGAUGCUCUGCAGGGUUCCUCUGCAUCUGGAUGGUCUAGUUCCACUGAUGCUCUGCAGAGUUCUUCUGAAGCUGGAUUUUCUAGGCUGAUGCUCUGUAGGGUUCCUCUGCAGCUGGAUAGUGUAGUCCCAAUGAUGCUCUGCAGGGUUCCUCUGCAGCUGGAUGGUCUAGUCUGAUGCUCUGUAAGGUUCCUCUGCAGCUGGAGAGUCCAGUUCUACUAAUGCUCUGCUGCUAUGGUAGUGACAAUGGAAAACAGUUUCUUAAAUGACCUUUUAAUUUGAAUAAACCUUAAAAUGAAAA